This 468-nucleotide ribosomal RNA is filed under the name uncultured bacterium. RNAcentral's name for it is "partial 16S ribosomal RNA". It matches the Rfam family "Bacterial small subunit ribosomal RNA", at positions 28 to 507 of the family's 1533-position model. The record is from RNAcentral.
GACGAACGCUGGCGGCGUGCGUAACACAUGCAAGUCGAACGGAAAGGCCCUGCUUUUGUGGGGUGCUCGAGUGGCGAACGGGUGAGUAACACGUGAGUAACCUGCCCUUGACUUUGGGAUAACUUCAGGAAACUGGGGCCAAUACCGGAUAGGAGCUCCUGCUGCAUGGUGGGGGUUGGAAAGUUUCGGCGGUUGGGGAUGGACUCGCGGCUUAUCAGCUUGUUGGUGGGGUAGUGGCUUACCAAGGCUUUGACGGGUAGCCGGCCUGAGAGGGUGACCGGCCACAUUGGGACUGAGAUACGGCCCAGACUCCUACGGGAGGCAGCAGUGGGGAAUAUUGCACAAUGGGCGGAAGCCUGAUGCAGCAACGCCGCGUGCGGGAUGACGGCCUUCGGGUUGUAAACCGCUUUCGCCUGUGACGAAGCGUGAGUGACGGUAAUGGGUAAAGAAGCACCGGCUAACUACGUG